UCCCUUGUUAUUAUAUUGGCCCAACUUACCAUACAACCUAAAUUGAUGUUAUAUAUGCAACCUAUUCUCCCAGCCGUGUCUCGUGUUUGUGUAGUUUGCAAGAGGGGAAAGAAACGAGAGGCAGCCAUCCAUACGGCAAUUGAGAGCUUUACUUGGUGAGUUAUUGGUGUCUUCCUUCUUCUCUCCCUUUGUGACAUUGCAAAUCACCACCACCAUCAUCCUUUGUGGCUGAGGCAAUCAAAGUGAAGGAAGGGUGUGGGUCGAGCCAAGGUCUGGUGGUGUUCAUUUGAUGAUUAUUCUAAAUCCGAAUUCUAAAUUUCUUGAAGC
Molecule: long non-coding RNA, 327 nt
Filed under: Olea europaea subsp. europaea
Lineage: Eukaryota; Viridiplantae; Streptophyta; Magnoliopsida; Lamiales; Oleaceae
Source: RNAcentral